RNAcentral lists this ribosomal RNA (657 nucleotides) under uncultured bacterium. RNAcentral describes it as "bacterial SSU rRNA". It matches the Rfam family "Bacterial small subunit ribosomal RNA", at positions 232 to 883 of the family's 1533-position model. The record is from RNAcentral.
CGCGGCCUAUCAGCUUGUUGGUGGGGUAAUGGCCUACCAAGGCUUUGACGGGUAGCCGGCCUGAGAGGGUGACCGGCCACACUGGGACUGAGACACGGCCCAGACUCCUACGGGAGGCAGCAGUGGGGAAUAUUGGACAAUGGGCGGAAGCCUGAUCCAGCAACGCCGCGUGAGGGAUGACGGCCUUCGGGUUGUAAACCUCUUUCAGCACAGGCGAAGCUGUCCUCACGUGUGGGGGUGGUGACGGUAUGUGCAGAAGAAGCACCGGCCAACUACGUGCCAGCAGCCGCGGUAAUACGUAGGGUGCGAGCGUUGUCCGGAAUUAUUGGGCGUAAAGGGCUCGUAGGCGGUUUGUCGCGUCGGGAGUGAAAUCCACUGGCUUAACUGGUGGCUUGCUUUCGAUACGGGCAGACUGGAGGUAUGCAGGGGAGAACGGAAUUCCUGGUGUAGCGGUGAAAUGCGCAGAUAUCAGGAGGAACACCGGUGGCGAAGGCGGUUCUCUGGGCAUGUCCUGACGCUGAGGAGCGAAAGUGUGGGGAGCGAACAGGAUUAGAUACCCUGGUAGUCCACACCGUAAACGUUGGGCGCUAGGUGUGGGAUCCAUUCCACGGGUUCCGUGCCGCAGCUAACGCAUUAAGCGCCCCGCCUGGGGAGUAC